UGACAGAAUCAGAAUCAGGCACAAGUGCACAACUCUGUCAUCUGACGAUGACAGAGUUUAGAAUGUAGUGUCCGUGUUCUAGAAGACUCCGUGUGGCAAUGCUGCCCUUUUGCAGUGGAACUGUUUCUAGGGGAAAAUAACGUGUUACCAGGCAGCUAUAGGGCAGAAAGCAACUAGCUCCUAAUCUGAGCUCCCAUUGGCUAGUAGUUUGGAAUGAUACUUUAUGCGGUGUUGUUACAACCUUUAGGAAUAUGUUACCUAGGAAACACAUGCACAAAUACAUAUGCUUAUCAAUACAUGCACAUAGAUUGUGAGAUCAAAUAAGGGAAUUAUUGCUCAUUAAGGACAUAUAUUACUGGAUGUAGGGUAUAUUAUUAUAGUACUGUGACUUAACACAAUUUGUAUUAUCUGUAGUGCGAGGCCAUGAGAAGGUGCCAACGAAGCAUUUCAAGGCACGUCUGUUUUUUUCAUAUCAGUGAUGACCCUACGUGGACAUGGUCUUAGGGCGUCCAUUUUGGUUUAGUUUGUAAUUUAGGGGAUCUAGCUAUAAUGUGAUGAGUACUGGAAGCAAUACACGUAGUAGCAUGUCGUCUUGUCUUGUCUUUCUCUUCUGUCUGUCGUAGAAGCUUUGGAUUUUACCUAUAGAUGUUCAGUAGGUUUACAUAACUAACUAAUUUUUUAUUUGUGAAAAUGCUGCUAUUUAAUAAGUGAUGUACUCAAAAAAAGAAAAGGUAAAACAUAUCGGAUCUUUCAGUUAGCGGGACAUUCUAUUUCAGAGAGCUGUAAUAAACGCUCUUGUGGUAAUAAGAUGAUAAUAAUUGUAUAAGAACAAAGUGUAAGAACCAACCUAAACAAAUAAACUUGUGCCAAAAUAGAGCUUUACAGAAACUGAAACUGUAAAAUUGUGGGAUUUAAACACCCUUAGAUGAGAAGAAGCAUACUUUUAUACAAAAAAAUGUGAAAGUGCCAAACAAACCAUAUUUAUAAUUUACGUAGAAUGGAAAUAGGAAAAGUGAGUUUUUAAGAAAUAGACAUUGAUCAAAAUAUACAUAAAAUGUUGAGUUGUUAGUUUCAGCCCCUUUCUAACCUGCCAUGAGAGUAGAGACUGAGGGAAGCAGGAAGACACCUUGUUAGCCAAUCAAAGCACUAGGACUCUGGGGGCUAGGGGAGGAACCCCCUCACCCACAACCCUUGCCCCGAGUGCCAAAUAGAUCCAGAACCAUUCCAAAACGUUUUUGAGUUCUCUUGUGUGUUGGACAUCCAUUGGACGCACCCAUGAAGCCAGCAUGUUUCCACCAUAACAUGAUGUCAGUCAUGACGCCUCAGCAUCACUCAAAGACACCGAUCAAAAACAACCCCCCUUUCCCCCCCACCAACCCACCCAGAGCUAAACCUGAGCAGGAUUAACCCGUAAGCGGCUGGCUACCUCCCAUAAACUGCUUUUCCUAAUUCUCUGCCAUCUCUUCAACCUCCAGGACAUCAUUGAUUGUGUGCCAUAGUGUUGGGGGGGACAGGCCUGUCACUUCUCCUCACCCCCCAAGUCUCUCUCUCCAUUUGAUUUUCGAUGGGAAAGAUUAAAAAAUCCAUUUCUAAUGACGAUUUUUUUCUUUAACAUUAAAACACACACACACACUCCGUACCGUGGUGUGAGGAGAGUUCUCGUCAGCUGCAGCCAUCCUCUGUCUUCUGAACUUUGAACUUUUCACCCCCUCAUGAACUUGAUUGACCUUCUUCCUCCCCCCUUCUGUGUUCAUCAAACUGUUUGGACUUAAACUAUCCAUCCCAUAUCCAAACCUCUUUGAGACUGUGCAAUGCUAGCUGAAAUGAUUGGAUUUUUUUUGUUUGUUGACCGUCAUUGGGACAAUUCUCAGAGAUUGAAAGAAAAAGAAUGAAAGAACGGAAAAAAAUAUCAUCCCUCCCAAAAAAAAAAAAAAAAAAAAAAGCAGACAAAAGCAUAGUGUGUGUUUGCAGACAAACAAAAAAAAACUAAACAACUUGUUUCUCCACAAUAUCAUUUUUUCUCUCAUUGUAAAUAUCUUUUGUCAGAUUUUGUUGAGCUGUUAUGAAGAGGCGUGUUCAACUGACUGGGACUGGCAGCAUAACCCAACUAGUGGAACAACUAGACGACAGACGCACCUUCAUCCCGACCAUCGCCUAGUUAGUUAGUCAGCCAGCUAGUUUGUUAGAUUAGUAGGUUAGUUCUGCUGCAGUGAUGUCUGUGAUGUUGUUAUUGCUGUUGGCCUGCUGUGUUUGUUGUUUAGCCUUCAUGCUACUUCUGCUUUAGACGCAAGUAUGUGUAAACCUUGUACCAGCUGUCGGAAACGAGGAGUUAUGUUAUCACCCUCGCCAUUCGUAAUGAGUCGUAGUGGCAGCCAUCUUUCUCCAGAGGUAGUCAUGGAGACGCCUGCGAGAGAAUAAACGAUUAGCAGGAACUUGACUCGAAACUAAACCUUGAAUGACUCGCAGGGUGUUCAAAGAAAGAGCUAUUACCGAAAGUAGCUCAAUGUGCAGUACAGUCACUAUGGUUUACACAAUGAUGGAUAGGUCGAAGAAUAGGGAGAUUAAACGUAAUCGUAAAGUUAAAUGGUCAUGGGUGAAUAGGAAUUUGAAGCCAACUUGACUUCAGCACAGUUCGUGCCUAGCUGCGGCAUAGCCUAUAUUUGUCUGUGUGGGUGGUUAGGGUCCGAGGAGGUGGAGAGUGUCGCAAUGCUGCCGUAACUACACUGACCAUAUCAUUGCUUUAUGCUCCACUCUGUUAUGCUGCCGGUCCCAUCUCCAGAUAAAACAUUCAUGAGCUAUUUAUUUCUCCGCCUAUUAUAUACAAUUAAUAAAUGACAACACAACAAGAAAAAGGGAAUGACUGGAAAGGUUGAAUUAUUGUUUUGUUUUUUAGUAUUUUAGUGGUUGCUUUUAACAACAUUCAUUAACUGACUUAAAGAGUAUUGAAUAUUUAAUGUAAUUGUAGCAUUGUGUUUGUAAAGAAAAAAAAACAGUAGUGAGUUGUGUUUAUUGACUUGUGGAUUACCAGUGAAGUCGGCAAUCUAGUGCUAAUAUAUAUGGAGUCGUUUUUUUAAGGAUUCUUAUUUUGCGACAGCAACAACAGUCAUUAUAAAUGUUCAUUUUAGCAUCACCUGUCUUCUGUUGUCUUAUUCCCCACUCACUACAGCCAUCACAGUAACACAUCGCACCAUGUGCUCAAACGUGGGAGGGCCAUACCAUACAUACGAGGGGUGUGUGUGUGUGUGUGUGUGUGUGUGGACCUAAGUGGAACAAUGUGUGUGUAAGGAGUAUGUGUGUGUGUGCGGACCUAAGUGAAAUCGAAUGUGUGUGUAAGGAAGUGCGUGUGUGUGGACGCCAAGGCUACCACCUGAGCCUGCGUGGGAUGGCUGUUCUGUAAACGUUCACCGAAGCAUAACCUGGAGGGCUUCCAUUCAUCAAUGGAACCCCCUGACGUUAUAGCUGCGACCAUCAUGUGACCCAAGUCUACUAUAUCGUUCAUAACCCCCUCCCACCACCCAACACCCAACCAACCACUGUCCCCACCUCCCCCUCCUCCUGCGCCAUCUCCUACCACACACCAGCACCAUGUGACCUGUCCUCCAUCAGUAACAUAACAUACUACUGUUACCCGAUCAGAACCACAUUAACCUGUCUCCAUGUCAACAGAGGAGCCGGUUGCUCGACAACUUGACUCCACCCCCACAUGAUACUCAACCGACAGACCAACCGACCGACCAAUCAUCCUCCUCCCCUGCAGGGCCGCUAACAUGGCUGUUAAUAGAAUGUCUGCAAGGCAACGCCCACUUGACCAUGAAACCUCAGUUCUAGAAUGUAGAGGUAGAGAGGAAGGAAGGGAGACAGACAGACAGGAAGUUCAGAGUGACUACCUGAGCAUACUUAGGUAAUCUAACACCCUGUAGUCUCUCACAUAUUAUGUUGCCCAUUGCAUUCCAAGACAACCCAAAGACGAUUGACAUGUCUCUAUUUAUACGAUCGCUUGGAAACUUUUCUCAAUCAAAUUGAUUUCUUGCUUGAUUGAUCUAGUGAUUUGACCAACUAUCCAAGAGGGAUGAUAGGAACCCUGGAGAAAGAGCUAGCCGAUGACGUAAUGUUUACAACCUCAAUGAGACCAACGCUGUUAAAAGAAUGUGUAGGACUUCAAACCAAUUCUCUGAAAGAGUACGUAUUGCUAAAAUGCUGCAAUUUCGAUGACGAUUUCUAUGUGACCUGAGGUAAUGUGAUUAUGAAUCAUUGCAUGUUAUUAUGUUUUUGCAAUGAAAUACAUUUUUGGAACUGUUAGAAUGAAUGGUACUUUGUGACGCUAGUGUCAACGUCUACGUUAGUGAUGUCACCAUGCGGAGGGGUUAUGGACCAAUGAAUGCUAAAAUGUGUGACCACAACGUUGUAAAGAUUCUCUUCAUUUGUACAUGGGUAUUAUGGGUAAAUAAACCAUUGAAGCAAAGCAUCAGCUAGAUAUUGUAAGUCUUAAAGAUAAAAGUCCACACAUACAGUAAAUGUACUAAGGCAGAGCCCAAAGACAGUGCUUUGACAAUUAUUUAUUAGAAGACAUUGAUUGCAGUCUUGACUGUAGGCAAAUACAAUAAGAGGUAAGUUUCCAUGUUCCCUGUUGAAUUUAAAUGAGGUUUAGACUAAUAUGGAGGCUUGGUAAUGCCAGUAUGGAUGAAAAUGUUUUUGAGACCAUGCUUUCAAUGCAACGAGAGUUAGGGCAGUAAUAAUCGGUGUUUAUCCAAGGUUUAAAGACAAUCAUAAAGAUUGGGUCUGCCCUUCACACACUUCAUCUCUGCAAGCAUCACAAAUGUCAAAAUUCAACAAACGCAAAGGUUUCUGAACAUUCUCAUCCACCUACAAUUCCCCUGUGCACCAGCUCAUCCAAUCAGCAAACACCCACACCCCUGCAUCCACCAUGUGUCAACAGCCAGCCAAUCAGCACCUGCAACCUACUCCGCUGGCCAAUGGCUGGGCCAGCUCCAUGUCAGCUGUGGGCUUAUUGACCGAUAGUGGAGUCCCCUGAGUACCCAGCAAUCACAGCAUGGUCUGACAACCCUGUCCCAGUCUCACCAACCCCUCCAUACUCUAAAGAAGUUCCUCCAAAUAAGAGUGAAGCAGAGGCUGGUUGAUGAUGUUUGUCCACUCAUGAUGAUGUGCUGUUGAUGCACAUCCAACUCACGUUAGACCGUGUGUGUAUUUUAUAAGGCAGCUAAUAAAACGUCCUCAUUUGCCAAUGUGAGAGGAAAUGUGUGCACAGCCCCUGAGCUUCAACUGCAUGGAUCAAUACCAGAACUGUUUUGUGCCUUUGGUUAGAGUCUCCAGAUGAUGCUAGCGAUGGCCGACUAGGUCUCUAAGGUAGAUGCUGUGUUGUUUUAUUGAACAGCUGUGAGCUGUAAGCAGGUAAGUUUAUCUGUAAGAACAUCCCAUCUCCCUCAAGAGUGUAUUUUUGCACUGUGUACAGACGAUGCGUUCAUAACCCUCCCCAUGCGAAGAAAGGUGCAUGCAGAAUGCGUGCUAUACAAGAGUAUGCAAAUCCAGCACUUCCUAAGGGGUUAUACCUCAGUGGGCUUCACCUGGAUUCAUAUAAUAGCAGGAAUAAAGGAUGGGAUGCUUACAGAGAUCUGUAGGGAGAUCUGGGGACAGAUAGAGCAUGCUGGUCUUGACGGUUUCCAUGUAAAUUGUCGAGCAUCUGGUGAACCUGCUACUAUGACAAAUUAGCGCCCCGCUAUAUAGCCUGGCCAUUGCCCCCUCCUCCUCUUCCUCCUCUUCUCUAUACUCCUCUCUCCUCCCAGCAGGCCAGCGUACAAGGCUAGACAGCAGGGUCGCUGCAAUGAGGCUCCAUCUCUGCCUGGCCGGCUGCUCCAGCUAACAGCGCACCCCCCCCCCCCCCUCCUGGAGGCUACUUAUUGAUUUCCCUUCUUCCUCUUUCCCCCAGUCCUCGCUUGCUCAUUCAUCAUCCCUGAAAAGAAACCAAAAAAAGGAAGAAUGAUAAACGGCUAAACCUAAUCCCAGAGUGGUUGUUCUCUGGAACACAUUGGGUCUGUAGGAGAGCAGGAUGGGGAUGAAUGUCUGUACAGGUGCAGGUGAUCAGAGGAACCAUAUGUCUCAUAUUAUAAAUGCAGAAGACCCAGGUUCGAUUCCCCACUUACGUGCUAUGCACUUUGACCUUUGAUAGCAAAGUUAGAACUAAGAUGUUUUAUACCGAUCUCCUUUUCAGAGAGUACAUUGCCCAAAGGGUUGGGAUAAAGUACCAGAUUAAAUGUCAAGUCAAACAAUACAGUCUGUUAAAUGACAAUAAAUCAUAGUCUUUCGAUUGGUGCAAUCUAGAUUGUAAAAUAAAUCUCGUCUGUUGACAAAAACACAUCCCCAAGAGUAGCAGAACUUGAACUGAAAUCUAGUCUGUUUCCAUUCUUGAGGGACUUCCUGUCUGAGGAUCCACCACGCCAACAUGCCAGCCCAGCAUCAUUUAGCCUAGCCUAGCCCAGCCCAGCCCAGCCCAGCCCAGCCCAGUCCAGCCCAGUCCAGCCCAGCCCAGCCCAGCCCAGCCCAGUCCAGCCCACCAUAGCCCAGCCCCACCCAGUCCAUUGUGAUUUCACCUCCCUGCCAGGGGGUGUACCAGAGCAAACAACAUAUGUUUUGCAUUUGGGAAACACACAAGCGCUUAAUCCCUGGCAAAUCACAGCAAGUGGCGCGGCCUGAUAGAAUUCCUGGGAACAUAUUUCAGGUCUGUAGCUGUGGCAGAUCAACUAUUUGAGGCAGCGUUGAUUCAGAAGAUGAAAAUAUCAGUGUGCAUGUCAUAUCUUCCACGACAGAGUAAAAGCAUAGUGUGUGUGCAUAAAAACUCGGAGAGGGUGAGGAGAUUUUUGCACAGAACUUGUUAGACGAUCCUGAAUAUAAGAAAUUGUGUGACAGAAAUACGUUGAAUGUUUGUUCUAUUCUAAGGUGACCAAGAAAUGUGUACUGUAUGGUACGUGAACAUUCCAUCAACUUGAAAUUGAGGAAAAUCUGUUCGAUUUUGAUCUACAUUGGGCUGUAUUGCACCUCUGAACAAUAUGACACUCAUUCUGUCCAAAUGACUAAAGAUAAGUCUUUUUGAUUGAAAUUUUGUAGAAAAAAAAUAAAACGUUAAAAAUCCCAAAUCUAGAUUUUAAUCAUGGCUCAUAAAGAUGUUUUUUUUUUAUCUGCUCAAAUUUGAAAAUUGGAGUGUAUAUUUUUGGACGAACAUAAUGCUAUUUGUAUUCAGACUUUUUCCAGGCCUCAGGUCUAUAGCAUUUUGGCUGUACUUUCCUUCCUGAAUGUUCUACCAACUCACUGCAUGUUUGUCUAGAUGGAACCUUCCUGUCCUCUUUGAGCUUCCUGCUUCCUGUCAAGGAACUUAUAAAGAAGGAGGCUUCAGAGAUUACACACACAAGCAGCUCCUGAGAGCACCUCAGACCCUUCUUUAUAACUUCCUUGCUUUCUGUCUGAAUGAGGUUCAGUUACCUCGGUUACAUCAGCACCUACACACCACGGAAACCUUGUCAUCAAACACAUGAAAAAAAAAGUCCCACUCCCAACCAAAUUACAAUUAGUCAUUAAAUAUCUACUUCGAGAUUAUUCUCGGAUAUUUGCGAAGGAAAUUUACUCAACGAGAUAGAUUACUUGCCAAAUUAGUUAUUGUUAUCAGGAGCAAUCUUAUUUGAUUGACAAUUUCAUGACAAUUUCAAGCAUUGAUAUGUAUUUAUUCAAAUAAUUUAUUUAGAUUUAUGUUUCUUUGAUUGAAACAGUUUUUUUCCUCUAAUUUACAGAAUACCAGUCAGAUAAGCAAAAUAAUGAACAAUGAUUGUAAUUUUGUAUGUUUUCUUUGGUCAUAUAUUUUACUGUUGUAAUAUUUCUAACCAACAUUGCAGAUGAAGCAUCCAUUUGUUUAAAAAAUAUGAAGGAAAAAAAACAAACAUUUCAUUCGUAACUAUUCCCCAAAAAAGGUAUUUUAAAAUGUAUUGAAUGUUUGAUUAUUAUGUGUAUAAAUAUACUGAGAAUAAAUAUGUUUAAAUUGCGAUGCAAAAGCUGUGAUUUUAAAACACUGUAGCGUGUACAGUGAUUUCUUUAUCAAUUUUAUGGUACAUGAUAUGUUCUGCAAUCUUGCAGUCGUUGUUUGUUUGAUUUCUGUUCUUGGGCCUAUGCUUUAAUAAAUGCAUUUUCUACUGUA
Osmerus eperlanus (European smelt) is the source of this 8197-nucleotide long non-coding RNA. RefSeq lists it as uncharacterized. The record is from RefSeq and is a predicted model, not a curated record. The transcript has 2 exons. Lineage: Eukaryota; Metazoa; Chordata; Actinopteri; Osmeriformes; Osmeridae.